Molecule: non-coding RNA, 205 nt
Organism: Triticum urartu
Lineage: Eukaryota; Viridiplantae; Streptophyta; Magnoliopsida; Poales; Poaceae
Source: Rfam
UUGACAUGCCACAAAUCCUCUUGAAAGAGAGGGGUGCCCUCGGGAACGUGGACACAGUUGGUGCAUGGCUGUCGACAGCUCGUGCCGUAAGGUGUUGGGUUAAGUCUCGCAAGGAGCGCAACAGCAGGUACGUUUUCAAAAAUAUAUUUGUGUAACAGGUUUGCUGCUGUAACUUGUUGCUCUAAGCAAGUUACCGACUACUCAA